Molecule: unclassified non-coding RNA, 357 nt
Filed under: soil metagenome
Description: partial contains 5.8S ribosomal RNA, internal transcribed spacer 2, and large subunit ribosomal RNA
Rfam family: 5.8S ribosomal RNA (bases 1-120)
Source: RNAcentral
GAUGAAGAACGUAGCGAAAUGCGAUAAGUAAUGCGAAUUGCAGAAUUCCGUGAGUCAUCGAAUCUUUGAACGCACAUUGCGCCCGCUGGUAUUCCGGCGGGCAUGCCUGUUCGAGCGUCAUUUCAACCCUCAAGCUCUCCGGAGUUUGGUGUUGGGGCGCCUGGGGCUUUUCGACCUCAGGGCCCUCAAGUCCAUCGGCGGGACCGCCAGGACACUGAGCGCAGUAGUAUUAUUUCGCUCGGUAGGAUCUUCCACGGCGGGUCGAUCUGGCCGCUAAACCCCCCAAUUCUCACCAAAGGUUGACCUCGGAUCAGGUAGGAAUACCCGCUGAACUUAAGCAUAUCAAUAAGCGGAGGA